AAAGAUUAAAAAAAAAUCGAGAUCGAUUCAUGUAAAAAAGAAGAAAAUUAACCAAAGUAGUUUGUAGCAGAACUCUGUGAUUGAAGUCUUCAAAAAAUUUAAACUGUAACAAAAAAAAAGAAAUUCAUUAAAAAAUAAUAUUAAUUUGAAUUAAAAAAGUGAAGAAUUAAACAGUUGAUAACGCUUAUAAUCGUAGGCACUAGAGCUAAUAAAAAUAAAUUUAGAACUUAUAGUUCGAAGAUUGCGCUGUGUAGUUAGCGGACAAUCUUAGAGACCUGAACCAUAUCACCUGAAACGAGGAUUGGUCUUUUUUGUCAUCGUAAAAUUUAAGAAUAUGGAUUUUUGGAAAAGGCAAAGAAAAAGGAAACGAUUAAAUAUGCGUAAAUAACUUUAAAAUGUAAUCUUUAAACGAUGAUGCUAUUAUUGAGCGUGGAUAAAUUUUAGUUUAAGCGGUCAGUCUCUGACAAUAAGAAGGACGUAGUCGCCAACGUUAAAUUAUAAGCAACUAGCGUUACGUUUUGUUAUAAUAAAAUAAAGAUGUAGGCGGUAAUUUAAAUGAGUAACGAGGAAAAAUAAGAGUUUUAUCUGGAGUGUUUGUGAUUGUUGAUGAAUAGCUAAUAAUAAAUUAUUUUAAAAGUUA
This is a non-coding RNA of Onthophagus taurus, 640 nucleotides long. Lineage: Eukaryota; Metazoa; Arthropoda; Insecta; Coleoptera; Scarabaeidae. The record is from RefSeq and is a predicted model, not a curated record.